Molecule: long non-coding RNA, 239 nt
Filed under: Physcomitrium patens
Lineage: Eukaryota; Viridiplantae; Streptophyta; Bryopsida; Funariales; Funariaceae
Description: long non-coding RNA (PPAT_LNC004775)
Source: RNAcentral
AUUAAUUAAUUUAGAGAAAGAAAGUGUGAUUGUGAUAAUAGAGAUUAUUGCAUUGUGAUAGUAGCAUUGGAAGAUUGAGUAAAAGUAAAGGAAUUGAGAAUUGAAGUACUGUGGAAAGAGAUUAAGCAUCCUGUAGAUGUUAGGAAUGUCAGUGAUAUUGAGUAGCUGCAAGGCAGUGAACGAUUGUAGAGAUUGUGAAGGGAUUGAAUUGAGAUGAGGAAGAGAACUUUGGAAGUUUU